UGGGUUUCUGGCUAAGGGUCCUAGAGAUGU
Molecule: non-coding RNA, 30 nt
Filed under: Mus musculus (house mouse)
Lineage: Eukaryota; Metazoa; Chordata; Mammalia; Rodentia; Muridae
Source: RNAcentral